RNAcentral lists this ribosomal RNA (604 nucleotides) under Aseroe rubra. RNAcentral describes it as "eukaryotic LSU rRNA". It matches the Rfam family "Eukaryotic large subunit ribosomal RNA", at positions 65 to 643 of the family's 3401-position model. The record is from RNAcentral. Lineage: Eukaryota; Fungi; Basidiomycota; Agaricomycetes; Phallales; Clathraceae.
CUAACAAGGAUUCCCCUAGUAACGGCGAGUGAAGCGGGAAGAGCUCAAAUUUGUAAUCUGGCGGUCUACGGCCGUCCGAGUUGUAAUCUGGAGAAGCGUUUUCGGCGCCGGUCCGCGUACAAGUCCCCUGGAACGGGGCGUCGCAGAGGGUGAGAAUCCCGUCUUUGACGCGGUCCACCGGUGCCAUGUGAUGCGCUCUCGAAGAGUCGAGUUGUUUGGGAAUGCAGCUCAAAACGGGUGGUAAAUUCCAUCUAAAGCUAAAUACUGGCGAAAGACCGAUAGCGAACAAGUACCGUGAGGGAAAGAUGAAAAGCACUUUGGAAAGAGAGUCAAACAGUACGUGAAAUUGUUGAAAGGGAAACGCUUGAAGUCAGUCGCGUCUCUCGGGACUCAGCCGAGACUUACCUCUCGGUGCAUUUCCCGAGUCUGGACGGGCCAGCAUCGGUUUCGACCGUCGUAAAAAGGCGUGAGGAAUGUGGCACCCUCGGGUGUGUUAUAGCCUCUCGUCGUAUGCGACGGACGGGACCGAGGAACGCAGCGCGCCCCUCGCGGGGCCGGGGUUCGCCCACGUAACGCGCUUAGGAUGCUGGCGUAAUGGCUUUAA